AUUGAGUUGCGAACGGGUGAGUAACACGUGGGUAACCUGCCCAUCAGAAGGGGAUAACACUUGGGAACAGGUGCUAAUACCGUAUAACAAUCGAAACCGCAUGGUUUCGUUUUGAAAGGCGCUUUACGGUGCCGCUGAUGGAUGGACCCGCGGUGCAUUAGCUAGUUGGUGAGGUAACGGCUCACCAAGGCCACGAUGCAUAGCCGACCUGAGAGGGUGAUCGGCCGCAUUGGGACUGAGACACGGCCCAAACUCCUACGGGAGGCAGCAGUAGGGAAUCUUCGGCAAUGGACGAAAGUCUGACCGAGCAACGCCGCGUGAGUGAAGAAGGUUUUCGGAUCGUAAAACUCUGUUGUUAGAGAAGAACAAGGGUGAGAGUAACUGUUCACCCCUUGACGGUAUCUAACCAGAAAGCCACGGCUAACUACGUGCCAGCAGCCGCGGUAAUACGUAGGUGGCAAGCGUUGUCCGGAUUUAUUGGGCGUAAAGCGAGCGCAGGCGGUUUCUUAAGUCUGAUGUGAAAGCCCCCGGCUCAACCGGGGAGGGUCAUUGGAAACUGGGAGACUUGAGUGCAGAAGAGGAGAGUGGAAUUCCAUGUGUAGCGGUGAAAUGCGUAGAUAUAUGGAGGAACACCAGUGGCGAAGGCGGCUCUCUGGUCUGUAACUGACGCUGAGGCUCGAAAGCGUGGGGAGCAAACAGGAUUAGAUACCCUGGUAGUCCACGCCGUAAACGAUGAGUGCUAAGUGUUGGAGGGUUUCCGCCCUUCAGUGCUGCAGCUAACGCAUUAAGCACUCCGCCUGGGGAGUACGACCGCAAGGUUGAAACUCAAAGGAAUUGACGGGGGCCCGCACAAGCGGUGGAGCAUGUGGUUUAAUUCGAAGCAACGCGAAGAACCUUACCAGGUCUUGACAUCCUUUGACCACUCUAGAGAUAGAGCUUCCCCUUCGGGGGCAAAGUGACAGGUGGUGCAUGGUUGUCGUCAGCUCGUGUCGUGAGAUGUUGGGUUAAGUCCCGCAACGAGCGCAACCCUUAUUGUUAGUUGCCAUCAUUUAGUUGGGCACUCUAGCAAGACUGCCGGUGACAAACCGGAGGAAGGUGGGGAUGACGUCAAAUCAUCAUGCCCCUUAUGACCUGGGCUACACACGUGCUACAAUGGGAAGUACAACGAGUCGCGAAGUCGCGAGGCUAAGCUAAUCUCUUAAAGCUUCUCUCAGUUCGGAUUGUAGGCUGCAACUCGCCUACAUGAAGCCGGAAUCGCUAGUAAUCGCGGAUCAGCACGCCGCGGUGAAUACGUUCCCGGGCCUUGUACACACCGCCCGUCACACCACGAGAGUUUGUAACACCCGAAGUCGGUGAGGUAACCUUUUUGGAGCCAGCCGCCUAAGGUGGGAUAGAUGAUUGGGGUGAAGUCGUAACAAGAAU
This 1422-nucleotide ribosomal RNA is filed under the name Enterococcus pernyi. Its description in RNAcentral is "bacterial SSU rRNA". It matches the Rfam family "Bacterial small subunit ribosomal RNA". Lineage: Bacteria; Bacillati; Bacillota; Bacilli; Lactobacillales; Enterococcaceae. The record is from RNAcentral.